This 378-nucleotide long non-coding RNA is filed under the name Ananas comosus (pineapple). RNAcentral's name for it is "long non-coding RNA (ACOM_LNC029666)". Lineage: Eukaryota; Viridiplantae; Streptophyta; Magnoliopsida; Poales; Bromeliaceae. The record is from RNAcentral.
AAAAAAUACUACUACAUUAUUAAUGUCUCAACCUCCGUUUGGUUCGGGGUUAAGGAAAAAGUAGCUAUUCCAGGAAUAGAGUUAAGUUCAGGGUUAAAGUGGGUUAAAGUUUUUUUGUAUUUGGUUGGGGGUUGGAGUUAGUCUAGAAUAAUGAAAAAUAAUGUUUGGUUGGAGUAGGUGGGAUAAGAAUAUAAUGAUUGAUAAAGAAGGAUAAUAAUUGGUUGGAGUAGGUGGGAUAAGAAAAAUAGUGGGUUAUUAUGAAUAGAAAAUAGUGUUUGGUUGGAGUUUGGUGGGGUUAUGUGGGGUUACCUAACCCACCCAUUUUUUGAAAUGUUUGGGAAUAAUAUGGGGGUUAAGGGGUUAUUCCUCCCCUUAACC